Long non-coding RNA from Zeugodacus cucurbitae (melon fly), 2910 nucleotides. RefSeq lists it as uncharacterized. The record is from RefSeq and is a predicted model, not a curated record. The transcript has 4 exons. Lineage: Eukaryota; Metazoa; Arthropoda; Insecta; Diptera; Tephritidae.
AGUAUAAAUAAAUAAUUUCGCUUUAUAUAAGAGAACUAUAUAUAUUUGAUAUUUUAUGACUAAAGUCUUAGAAAAUUUAAGUACUGAAUAUAUACAGCACUGUGCUUUACCAAGAUGGCGGCUAUCUUACCACCGAGAAUUCCCCACGAAAAGUUUCUAAUGUAAAUGAUGCAUUUGUCCACACUAUUGUCCAAGAGUAGAUACACCGCAUGCAUCACAGUGCUGCAGUAAGAGGCCGCCGAGGUUUGUUUACAUUAUAUUUACUCAGCACUGUGGGCUGCGUGCAACGCUUUGGUUUUAAUACUAUAGUGGCAAUUAGGGUGUUGUGUUAAGCUGCAAAAAUAUUUUAAAUUUUACCAAAAUUUUAACUAAUUUUAAUUUAAGAACUUUAAUUAGUUUAAAUUUUAUUUAUUUAAGUAUUCAGGUUAGAAUUUUCAAAAAAUCGAUUUUUGUAUUAUUUUUGGUAAUGUCCCUGCAAGACGGAGGUAACAAACUGCACAAACACAAUCAAACUUUUUCAGAUGUUUACUCAUACAAUUACAACACUUACAUUUGUUUACAACUUUGAAUUGAAUUGGAGAAAGCUUUCGUUAGAAAGAGAAAAAAUAUUGCCACUGUAAGCAUAUUGAUAUAAUAAUAUGCUAAAAGAAGACAGAUAUGACAUUAAAAAAAGAAAAACUGAAAUUGAAGCCGCAAUUUGGCCAUUUUAUAAAAAAAUUGGCGCUUGAAGAGGAGAUAUGUAAAAGUAUUCAAUUAAAAAGGCAAAAUCAACGCACAAAGACCGGGACUUGAUACAAAAGAAAAUGUGUUAGAUGCCUGGAUGCUGGGAUGGAAUUUCUUGAUAUGUUGUUAGCAGGUUUGCGUAAGGAGUAUCCAGUCCCCACCCAACAUUGUUAAAAUAUAUACAUAUAUUUAGAAUAAGAAUAAAAUAAGAUUAUAUAUCAUUUGAAUUUUUGUAAAAUUAGAACAUAAAUUGCAUAAAUAUAAUAAUUUAUAUAUAAAUGUAAUUUUUAUAUUAAUAACUUGUAAAUGUAAAAAUUUAAUAAUAAGUUUAACUGUUUAAGUUUAUAUGAUUGUAUUAUCUACAUAUUUGAUUUUGUAAUAAUUAAAAAUGUAAUAAAAUAAAAUAAAAAACAAAAAGAAAAUAAUUAUUUUUAACUGUUAGCGGAAAAAGAUAACAAAUAUAGGUAACAAGCUGCUAACCAAAAUAAUGAACCGUACGGUAACAAAUACAUCUGUUCUGAAUAACAUAGGGAUAACAUAUAUGCUAACAUUUGCUUCAGCAGAGGUAACAUAUAUAUAACAUGCCAAAUAUGAAAAUAUAUGAGGCCAUUAACAGACUGUUAGUUGUCAAAACUUGACCAAUAGGAGACAAGUAUAAGUGUUAUCGUAGAACGAGACCACUUACGCAAAAUGUAAUUGGAUAGAGUGAGAAAACCGUUGAACGAGUAGGGGCAUAGUGUUACUUCUUUCCCACGCUUCGAACAAAAGUAACACACAAAUUAAUUUUUGCUAAUAUUUAGAGUAACAUAGCUGUAACAUGUUAGCUGAAAAUUACCCGUCUUGCAGGGGUAUAGCUGUAAUCGAUUGGUCAUUUAUUUACUCAUUAACUGUGUUUUGAAAGACGGUGAGCAAGAUUUCUCGGAAAUGGCUGAAAAUGUUUGAAAACAUAAUUUUUUAUGGCACCUAAUUAGAUUUAUCCCCUUAAGUCGUGCUGAACAAUACUCAAAAAAAGUAUUAAUUUUUGGGUUUAUUUUCAAAAUCGUAGAUCAUUGUAUAGGAAAUACCUUCAAGUUUAAUAACUUUUUUGAAUUUUUUUGUUUCAGCUGCUCAUUAGAAUGGGAUCAUGUCAGCAGUUGGGGAACUUUUUUUGCACCUUCGAAGACGUUAUUUUUCAAUAUUUUUGUAAAAAAAAUUGAAAUAUAGCUGAAAAUAUAUAUUACGUCAAAAAUACUUUGAAACAUUCGAUCAAGUACUUUCUUAAAAAAAAAACUCACGAAAAUCGCCUAAUUCGUCAUGGAUUACACUGGUAAAGCCCCAUAAAUACAAACCUGUAUUGUUAUCACCGCAUUUGACAUUUCCAAAGUUUGAAAAAUUUGAUACAGCCAACCGUUAUAAUAUUUAUAUUAGUUGUUUACCUAACACAAGCAGAAGUUUUUAAAUAAUGGUUGAUGUGAAAGUAUAAAAUUAUAUAUUUUGUAGUUUAAAAAAAAUAUGUGUUUAAAUAAUGAUGCUGAAAAUUUGCGUAUGUCUCUUAAUAUACUUCUUCUUAAUAUAUUCGCUUAAGUGCCCCUUCUUAACAUGCAAGACUUUUGGGACACUUAAGCGAAAGUCACUUAAAUGAAUCCCUGUGUAAUAUUGGGGGGUGUGAGUACUGUAAGUGGGGAUCACUGUAAUAGAAAGCGAUCUCCUCGAUGUGUAAAUAUAUUUAUUAUUGUAAUACUGUGAACUUCCUUAACUAAAACUUCUAUAUCCCGAAGUUCUCCACAAGUAGCAUUCUUGAAUAGGCAAUAGCAGUAAAAUUUCAUACAAAUUAUCUGUCAUUACUCGGAAAUCACUCUUACUCGAAAUUUUUUUGGUGGAUUAUGGUGCUUCGAGAAAUGGAAGUUCAAUUGUAUAUUGUGAAUACGGGAAUUAUUAUUAUAAGUAAUAAUAUUAGUAAAUAACUUAAGGAGUUGGAGUUUCAAAAUUUUAAUAUUAGAAAAAUGUUUUUGUCUUAUUAAAUAGUACAAUUUGUUUAAAAUAUUAUUUAAAAAUAGCAAACAACCCGAGUGCAAUUCUAAGAUAUAUACCCUUUGGAAGUAAUGCAAAACAGGCCACGUCGGUUUGAAUGUAAAACUUUAAACCCGUUUAACUCAAAACUCAAUUUUUCAAGUCGUCAAAAGUUAUGAAGCGAUUUCAUUCAAAUUU